Molecule: unclassified non-coding RNA, 321 nt
Filed under: soil metagenome
Description: partial contains 5.8S ribosomal RNA, internal transcribed spacer 2, and large subunit ribosomal RNA
Rfam family: 5.8S ribosomal RNA (bases 1-120)
Source: RNAcentral
GAUGAAGAACGUAGCGAAAUGCGAUAAGUAGUGUGAAUUGCAGAAUUCAGUGAAUCAUCGAAUCUUUGAACGCACAUUGCGCCCCUUGGUAUUCCAUGGGGCAUGCCUGUUCGAGCGUCAUUUGUACCUUCAAGCUUUGCUUGGUGUUGGGUGUUUGUCCUGAGGGACUCGCCUUAAAGUAAUUGGCAGCCAGUGUUUGGUUUUGAAGCGCAGCACAAGUCGCGAUUCAAAGCUAUACGCCCGCUUCCACAAGCCUUUUUCACUUUUGACCUCGGAUCAGGUAGGGAUACCCGCUGAACUUAAGCAUAUCAAUGCGGAGGA